UCCCAGCCUUGCUCAGCUGGUAGAGCACAAGAAUCUUAGUCUCAGGGCCAUGGGUUCAAGUCCCACAUUGGGCA
Molecule: non-coding RNA, 74 nt
Organism: Podarcis lilfordi (Lilford's wall lizard)
Lineage: Eukaryota; Metazoa; Chordata; Lepidosauria; Squamata; Lacertidae
Source: the annotation of a GenBank genome assembly